This 468-nucleotide ribosomal RNA is filed under the name uncultured bacterium. Its description in RNAcentral is "partial 16S ribosomal RNA". It matches the Rfam family "Bacterial small subunit ribosomal RNA", at positions 28 to 507 of the family's 1533-position model. The record is from RNAcentral.
GACGAACGCUGGCGGCGUGCUUAACACAUGCAAGUCGAACGGAAAGGCCCUGCUUUUGUGGGGUGCUCGAGUGGCGAACGGGUGAGUAACACGUGAGUAACCUUCCCUUGACUUUGGGAUAACUUCAGGAAACUGGGGCUAAUACCGGAUAGGAGCUCCUGCUGCAUGGGGGGGGUUGGAGAGUUUGGGCGGUUGGGGAUGGACUCGCGGGUUAUCCGCUUGUUGGUGGGGUAGUGGCUUACCAAGGCUUUGACGGGUAGCCGGCCUGAGAGGGUGAACGGCGACCAUGGGACUGAGGGACGGCGCAGAAGGCUAAGGGAGGCAGAAGUGGGAAAUCUUGCACAAUGAGCGGAAGCCUGAUGCAGAAACGCCGCGUGCGGGAUAACGGCUUUCGGGGGGAAAACAGCCUUGGCCUGAAACGAGGCGUGAGUGACGGUAAUGGGUAAAGAAGCCACGGCUAACUACGUG